RNAcentral lists this ribosomal RNA (253 nucleotides) under uncultured bacterium. RNAcentral's name for it is "partial 16S ribosomal RNA". It matches the Rfam family "Bacterial small subunit ribosomal RNA", at positions 524 to 776 of the family's 1533-position model. The record is from RNAcentral.
UACGUAGGGGGCAAGCGUUAUCCGGAUUUACUGGGUGUAAAGGGAGCGUAGACGGCAGAGCAAGUCUGAAGUGAAAGCCCGCGGCCCAACUGCGGGACUGCUUUGGAAACUGCCCGGCUAGAGUGCUGGAGAGGUAAGCGGAAUUCCUAGUGUAGCGGUGAGAUGCGUAGAUAUUAGGAGGAACACCAGUGGCGAAGGCGGCCUACUGGACAGUAACUGACGUUGAGGCUCGAAAGCGUGGGGAGCAAACAGG